CAUGCAGGCGGUUCGUUAAGUCUGAUGUGAAAUCCCCGGGCUCAACCUGGGACGUGCAUUGGAAACUGGCGAUCUAGAGUACGGUAGAGGGUGGUGGAAUUCCCGGUGUAGCAGUGAAAUGCGUAGAGAGCGGGAGGAACACUCGUGGCGAAGGCGGCCACCUGGACCAGUACUGACGCUGAGGCACGAAAGCGUGGGGAGCAAACAGGAUUAGAUACCCGGGUA
This 225-nucleotide ribosomal RNA is filed under the name uncultured Silanimonas sp. Its description in RNAcentral is "partial 16S ribosomal RNA". It matches the Rfam family "Bacterial small subunit ribosomal RNA", at positions 568 to 792 of the family's 1533-position model. Lineage: Bacteria; Pseudomonadati; Pseudomonadota; Gammaproteobacteria; Lysobacterales; Lysobacteraceae. The record is from RNAcentral.